CACCGGCGGCCCGAGUGGUAACCGCUAUUAUUGGGUCUAAAGGGUCUGUAGCCGGCCAGGUAAGUCCCUUGGGAAAUCUGGCAGCUUAACUGUCAGGCUGCCAGGGGAUACUGUCUGGCUUGGGACCGGGAGAGGUGAGAGGUACCUUGGGGGUAGGGGUGAAAUCUUGUGAUCCUCGAGGGACCACCAGUGGCGAAGGCGUCUCACCAGAACGGGUCCGACGGUAAGGGACGAAAGCUAGGGGCACGAACCGGAUUAGAUACCCGCGUAGUCC
This 274-nucleotide ribosomal RNA is filed under the name uncultured archaeon. RNAcentral describes it as "partial 16S ribosomal RNA". It matches the Rfam family "Archaeal small subunit ribosomal RNA", at positions 474 to 747 of the family's 1478-position model. The record is from RNAcentral.